UGAGGAAUAUUGCGCAAUGGGGGAAACCCUGACGCAGCGACGCCGCGUGAGUGAGGAAGGCCUUCGGGUCGUAAAGCUCUGUCAAGAGGAAAGAAGUGUACAAUGGCUAAUACCUGUUGUAUUUGACGGUACCUCUAAAGGAAGCACCGGCUAACUCCGUGCCAGCAGCCGCGGUAAUACGGAGGGUGCAAGCGUUGUUCGGAAUCACUGGGCGUAAAGGGCGCGUAGGCGGCUUGGUAAGUCAGAUGUGAAAGCCCACGGCUUAACUGUGGAAGUGCAUUUGAAACUGUCAGGCUUGAGUACCAGAGGGGAAAGUGGAAUUCCCGGUGUAGAGGUGAAAUUCGUAGAUAUCGGGAGGAAUACCGGUGGCGAAGGCGACUUUCUGGCUGGAUACUGACGCUGAGGCGCGAAAGCGUGGGGAGCAAACAGGAUUAGAUACCCUGGUAGUCCACGCUGUAAACGAUGUGAACUAGAUGCAGGGGGUGUUGAUCCCUUCUGUGUCGCAGCUAACGCAUUAAGUUCACCGCCUGGGGAGUACGGUCGCAAGAUUA
This 551-nucleotide ribosomal RNA is filed under the name uncultured Desulfobulbus sp. Its description in RNAcentral is "bacterial SSU rRNA". It matches the Rfam family "Bacterial small subunit ribosomal RNA", at positions 355 to 896 of the family's 1533-position model. The record is from RNAcentral. Lineage: Bacteria; Pseudomonadati; Thermodesulfobacteriota; Desulfobulbia; Desulfobulbales; Desulfobulbaceae.